RNAcentral lists this ribosomal RNA (253 nucleotides) under uncultured bacterium. RNAcentral's name for it is "partial 16S ribosomal RNA". It matches the Rfam family "Bacterial small subunit ribosomal RNA", at positions 524 to 776 of the family's 1533-position model. The record is from RNAcentral.
UACGUAGGACGCAAGCGUCGUCCGGAAUUACUGGGCGUAAAGCGCACGUAGGCGGAUCAGUUAGUCGGGGGUGAAAUCCCGGGGCUCAACCCCGGAACUGCCUUCGAUACUGCUGGUCUGGAGUCCGAGAGAGGUGAGUGGAAUUCCGAGUGUAGAGGUGAAAUUCGUAGAUAUUGGGAAGAACACCAGUGGCGAAGGCGGCCAUCUGGCUCGGUACUGACGCUGAGGCGCGAAAGCGUGGGGAGCAAACAGG